GUAGGUGGCAAGCGUUGUCCGGAAUUAUUGGGCGUAAAGCGCGCGCAGGCGGUCCUUUAAGUCUGAUGUGAAAGCCCACGGCUCAACCGUGGAGGGUCAUUGGAAACUGGGGGACUUGAGUACAGAAGAGGAAAGCGGAAUUCCAAGUGUAGCGGUGAAAUGCAUAGAGAUUUGGAGGAACACCAGUGGCGAAGGCGGCUUUCUGGUCUGUAACUGACGCUGAGGCGCGAAAGCGUGGGGAGCAAACAGGAUUAGAUACCCUGGUAGUCCACGCCGUAAACGAUGAGUGCUAAGCGUUAGGGGGUUUCCGCCCCCCUUAGUGCUGCAGCUAACGCAUUAAGCACUCCGCCUGGGAGUACGGCCGCAAGGCUG
This 372-nucleotide ribosomal RNA is filed under the name uncultured organism. RNAcentral's name for it is "partial 16S ribosomal RNA". It matches the Rfam family "Bacterial small subunit ribosomal RNA", at positions 527 to 896 of the family's 1533-position model. The record is from RNAcentral.